UUUUUUUUAAUUAAUACUAACUCAAUUUUUUUUGUUUAUCCUUGUGUUGUCACAUCCUACAACAUCGAGUGUCAGAAAAUGCACAGAAAAGGAGCCAUUGCGCGUGUGAUCACUUGCAUCGUGCGCGCGAUGUUGCAAUUAUGUACAUAUCAUGUACGAUGCUGCACAAUGUUACACUUGAUUACUCAAGUGGGUGCACACUUUUGCUCUCUUUUUCACCUGAUUUUUCACUGAGUCCAAUUUCUUCACACUUAGUUAUUUUUUCUUCAUUAUUCG
This 276-nucleotide long non-coding RNA is filed under the name Lathyrus oleraceus (garden pea). Its description in RNAcentral is "Pisum sativum (pea) long non-coding RNA (PSAT_LNC039943)". The record is from RNAcentral. Lineage: Eukaryota; Viridiplantae; Streptophyta; Magnoliopsida; Fabales; Fabaceae.